Molecule: long non-coding RNA, 505 nt
Filed under: Homo sapiens (human)
Lineage: Eukaryota; Metazoa; Chordata; Mammalia; Primates; Hominidae
Description: HSALNT0357940
Source: RNAcentral
AUGAUUUUUCUUGGCUCUUCAUGAUGAGAACUUGGUGGGGUUCUUGGAGGUAAAAACCUCUGAAUAUGCAGAACCCCUUCUAAGACUGUGACUCCAAGGAGUUUUUAUUCUUGAGCUAUGUCACACUCAACUUACAGCAAUUUAUCUGAAUUACCAUUCAGGUGAUCCAUCCACUUUUUAGUUCCGUGGUUCCUGCUCCAGAAGACAAGGACAAACUGAUACAUCAUCAAAAGAAUUUAUUUAGCCAGAGUGAAUACAUUCUUCUUUAUCCUCAUUGUCUUUAUGGAAACCUCCAAAUGAGCAGCAGUGCACAUCUAUAAAGGAUACAUGGAUGAUUCAGAGAAAAAAAAGUGACCAUGAUUUGGAGAAAAUAAGGAUUUUUUCCUUUUUGCCAUGUCAGAAGAUUGAUUUCCACAUAAGUUUUAGGACUUCCCUUGAGUGAAGAGGCUAUUAACUCUAAAAUAGUAUCGAAAGAAGAUUCCUGGAAGCAGAAAGGUGAUUUAAU